CUUGUUACCACAUCAAGGUUCAGGAACAAUGAACCCAGAGCGGAUAUCCUCCACAUAGACAGGUGUUUCUUUUAAUUCCCCUUACAAACCUUUGUGAACUGCCUUUAUUGGCAACUAGGACGUUUUAAACAGUUUCUUAAAUGGCCUAAACUCUCAGAUGAAAAGAGAUGAAGGCUGUUUUUCUAGAGCAUCCACAAGAAAGUAACUACAUGAGGAAGAAGAAAAGAACAAGAGAAGUUGAAUUACUUGGGGUUCACUGGUGCCACCAGCACCCCUUCAUGUUGUUUUCCAUGACACUCUUUUAAUCAGCUCUCUGCUCUCCUUUUAUGAAGUCAUAAAUCAUUAUCUGACUGCAGUGAAAUAAUUUCACCGCCUCUCUGCUUUGUAACCAUAGCAGCUGGUCAAU
Molecule: long non-coding RNA, 406 nt
Organism: Carassius auratus (goldfish)
Lineage: Eukaryota; Metazoa; Chordata; Actinopteri; Cypriniformes; Cyprinidae
Exons: 3
Source: RefSeq, a predicted model, not a curated record